AUUUUAUUCAGUUUUUCUGCUGCGCUACUUGCUGCUAAUGGUUUCUUCAAAUUCGAGUUUAUUUACUUUGAAUGGAGUUUUAGACUAUGAAUGGCGUUGAUUGAAUAAGUAUUUCAAUUUGCGCACAAAAGACCACGACAAUAAUAAGGAUUGUGUGACAUCAGUUCCAAUAUGAAGGCGCAAUGGCAUUUGGCGUUGGUGUUGUUGGUUGUAACUGUGUUGGUGUGUAGUGGCGACAGUAGCUAUGGUCAUUUUGGAUCCACUCGAAAAAAUGGCAUGCGACAGCCUUUUAUUCCCUAAUGUUCCUGCAAUAUAACGAAAAAAAAGAAGGAUAUUUUACUGGUGGAAAAAAAGUGAAUGACAAAUGAAGUAGUAGUCCUU
Molecule: long non-coding RNA, 381 nt
Organism: Episyrphus balteatus (marmalade hoverfly)
Lineage: Eukaryota; Metazoa; Arthropoda; Insecta; Diptera; Syrphidae
Exons: 3
Source: RefSeq, a predicted model, not a curated record